Molecule: non-coding RNA, 93 nt
Organism: Mycena belliarum
Lineage: Eukaryota; Fungi; Basidiomycota; Agaricomycetes; Agaricales; Mycenaceae
Source: the annotation of a GenBank genome assembly
GCCCGCCUAGCUCAAUCGGAUAGAGCGUCAGACUCUUACAGUCCAAUACAGGCGGGUAUCUGAAGGCUGCGAGUUCGACCCUCGCGGUGGGCU